This 788-nucleotide ribosomal RNA is filed under the name Mugil soiuy (So-iuy mullet). RNAcentral's name for it is "partial 16S ribosomal RNA". It matches the Rfam family "Bacterial large subunit ribosomal RNA", at positions 1538 to 2619 of the family's 2925-position model. The record is from RNAcentral. Lineage: Eukaryota; Metazoa; Chordata; Actinopteri; Mugiliformes; Mugilidae.
AAAUCGGAGCGGACCCGCCGCCGAAACUUAACGGCCCCAAACAACAGAGGGCACUGAAUAACAAGCAGUAACCAAGAAAAUUAUUCAAAAUUAUACCGUUAACCCCACACUGGUGUACUCCAAAGGAAAGACCAAAAGGAAAAGAAGGAACUCGGCAAAUACCCCCAAGCCUCGCCUGUUUACCAAAAACAUCGCCUCUUGCUAAUUACACAUAAGAGGUCCCGCCUGCCCUGUGACCCCUGGUUCAACGGCCGCGGUAUUUUGACCGUGCAAAGGUAGCGCAAUCACUUGUCUCUUAAAUGAGGACCUGUAUGAAUGGCAUAACGAGGGCUUAACUGUCUCCUUUCCCCGGUCAAUGAAAUUGAUCUUCCCGUGCAGAAGCGGGGAUCCUAACAUAAGACGAGAAGACCCUAUGGAGCUUUAGACUCUAGAACAGAUCAUGUAAGCUACCUCCGUGAAAUAGGUAAUAACUAUUGAACCCCUGUUCCCCUGUCUUUGGUUGGGGCGACCACGGGGAAUAAAAAAACCCCCACGUGGACCAGGAGCACAUUACUCCUACAACCAUGAGCCACAGCUCUAAUGCACAAAACAUUUGACCAUUAGAUCCGGCAAAGCCGAUCAACGGACCAAGUUACCCUAGGGAUAACAGCGCAAUCCCCUUUAAGAGUCCAUAUCGACAAGGGGGUUUACGACCUCGAUGUUGGAUCAAGACAUCCUAAUGGUGCAGCCGCUAUUAAGGGUUCGUUUGUUCAACGAUUAAAGUCCUACGUGAUCUGAGUUCAGACCGG